UGUGAAGUUACUUAAACAACCAGGAGGUUGGCUUAGAAGCAGCCAUCCUUUAAAGAAAGCGUAAUAGCUCACUGGUCUAGUGAUUUUGCGCGGAAAAUAUAACGGGGCUAAAGUAAGUACCGAAGCUGUAGACUUAGUUUACUAAGUGGUAGGAGAGCGUUCUAUUUGCGUCGAAGGUAUACCGGUAAGGAGUGCUGGAGCGAAUAGAAGUGAGCAUGCAGGCAUGAGUAGCGAUAAUUAAUGUGAGAAUCAUUAACGCCGUAAACCCAAGGUUUCCUACGCGAUGCUCGUCAUCGUAGGGUUAGUCGGGUCCUAAGUCGAGUCCGAAAGGGGUAGACGAUGGCAAAUUGGUUAAUAUUCCAAUACCAACAUUAGUGUGCGAUGGAAGGACGCUUAGGGCUAAGGGGGCUAGCGGAUGGAAGUGCUAGUCUAAGGUCGUAGGAGGUUAUAUAGGCAAAUCCGUAUAACAAUACUCCGAGAACUGAAAGGCUUUUUGAAGUCUUCGGAUGGAUAGAAGAACCCCUGAUGCCGUCGAGCCAAGAAAAGUUUCUAAGUUUAGCUAAUGUUGCCCGUACCGUAAACCGACACAGGUGGGUGGGAUGAGUAUUCUAAGGCGCGUGGAAGAACUCUCUUUAAGGAACUCUGCAAAAUAGCACCGUAUCUUCGGUAUAAGGUGUGGUUAGCUUUGUAUUAGGAUUUACUCCGAAAGCAAGGAAACUUACAACAAAGAGUCCCUCCCGACUGUUUACCAAAAACACAGCACUCUGCUAACUCGUAAGAGGAUGUAUAGGGUGUGACGCCUGCCCGGUGCUCGAAGGUUAAUUGAUGGGGUUAGCAUUAGCGAAGCUCUUGAUCGAAGCCCGAGUAAACGGCGGCCGUAACUAUAACGGUCCUAAGGUAGCGAAAUUCCUUGUCGGUUAAAUACCGACCUGCAUGAAUGGCGUAACGAGAUGGGAGCUGUCUCAAAGAGGGAUCCAGUGAAAUUGUAGUGGAGGUGAAAAUUCCUCCUACCCGCGGCAAGACGGAAAGACCCCGUGGACCUUUACUACAGCUUGACACUGCUACUUGGAUAAGAAUGUGCAGGAUAGGUGGGAGGCUUUGAGUAUAUGACGCCAGUUGUAUAUGAGCCAUUGUUGAGAUACCACUCUUUCUUAUUUGGGUAGCUAACCAGCUUGAGUUAUCCUCAAGUGGGACAAUGUCUGGUGGGUAGUUUGACUGGGGCGGUCGCCUCCCAAAUAAUAACGGAGGCUUACAAAGGUUGGCUCAGAACGGUUGGAAAUCGUUCGUAGAGUAUAAAGGUAUAAGCCAGCUUAACUGCAAGACAUACAAGUCAAGCAGAGACGAAAGUCGGUCUUAGUGAUCCGGUGGUUCUGUGUGGAAGGGCCAUCGCUCAAAGGAUAAAAGGUACCCCGGGGAUAACAGGCUGAUCUCCCCCAAGAGCUCACAUCGACGGGGAGGUUUGGCACCUCGAUGUCGGCUCAUCGCAUCCUGGGGCUGGAGCAGGUCCCAAGGGUAUGGCUGUUCGCCAUUUAAAGCGGUACGCGAGCUGGGUUCAGAACGUCGUGAGACAGUUCGGUCCCUAUCUGCCGUGGGCGUAAGAAGAUUGAAGAGAUUUGACCCUAGUACGAGAGGACCGGGUUGAACAAACCACUGGUGUAGCUGUUGUUCUGCCAAGAGCAUCGCAGCGUAGCUAAGUUUGGAAAGGAUAAACGCUGAAAGCAUCUAAGCGUGAAGCCAACUCUAAGAUGAAUCUUCUCUAAGCUCUCUAGAAGACUACUAGUUUGAUAGGCUGGGUGUGUAAUGGAUGAAAGUCCUUUAGCUGACCAGUACUAAUAGAGCGUUUGGCUUAUCUUU
RNAcentral lists this ribosomal RNA (1854 nucleotides) under Campylobacter jejuni. Its description in RNAcentral is "partial 23S ribosomal RNA". It matches the Rfam family "Bacterial large subunit ribosomal RNA", at positions 1074 to 2925 of the family's 2925-position model. Lineage: Bacteria; Pseudomonadati; Campylobacterota; Epsilonproteobacteria; Campylobacterales; Campylobacteraceae. The record is from RNAcentral.